Molecule: long non-coding RNA, 1210 nt
Filed under: Homo sapiens (human)
Lineage: Eukaryota; Metazoa; Chordata; Mammalia; Primates; Hominidae
Description: non-protein coding LINC01770:19
Source: RNAcentral
UGAAUUACUAUGAGCGUACAUUUUUAAUAGACUGUUGUGUUUCCAAGAAAGUAAAUAUCUCCGAGUCUCCCCCAAAAUUAAACAGCAAAAAUAAAUAAGGCCAGGUGGGGUGGCUCAUGCCUGUAAUCCCAACACUUUAGGAGGCUGAGGCGAGAGGAUUGCUUGUGCCUAGGAGUUCGAGACCAGCCUGGGCAACAUGAUGAGACCCCGUCUCUACAAAAAAAUUUAAAAUUAGCUGGGUGUGGUGGUGCACUCUAGUCACAGCUACUUGGGAGGCUGAGGUUAUAGGUGCCCACCACCACGCCCAGCUAAUUUUUUUUUUUUUUUUUUUUGAGACGGAGCCUCGCUCUUUCGCCCAAGCUAGAGUGCAGUGGCGUGAUCUUGGCUCACUGCAAGCUUUGCCUCCCAGGUUCACGCCAUUCUCCUGCCUCAGCCUCCCGAGUAGCUGGUACUACAGGUGCCCGCCACCAAGCCCAGCUAAUUUCUGUAUUUUUUAGUAGAGACGGGGUUUCACCGUGUUAGCCAGGAUGAUCUGGAUCUCCUGAGCUGGUGAUCCGCCCUCCUCGGCUUCCCAAAGUGCUGGGAUUACAGGCGUGAGCCACCGUGCCUGGCCUGGAUAUGUUAACAUAAUAAUUUAAGAUAAAAUGAAUGAGUUAAUCAGCAGAUUAGACGGAAGGGAGUAAUUUGAUGAGGGGGUAAAAGAAAAUGGUGAGGAUAUGGAGAAGGAAUUCGUGGUGAAACUGGACACAAUUGUUGAGGGAUUUCCAGAGCUGAUGAACGUUGUGGACCUGUGGCUUACACCAAACAGGGUGGGUGUGAGCUCGGCACAGCUAGGACGCGCUGGUGAGACCAAGGAACACCAAAGUCAGUGAGGAGAUCUUAGUGUCUCCCGGAGAGAGCCGACCGAGGCUGGCGCAUGUCUGAAUGCGAGCCUGGCCAUAGGCUGAGCCCGGCUGCCGCCACCCCUGGGCUUCUGGAACCCUGGGCUUGGCCGAGCGUGGGUGUCUCCCCUGGGAGCCCCAGAGCCCUGGACGAUGGAGGCCGGGACCUGGGCAGGCGCGGGAGGCCUUGGGCUGGGGCCUGCGCCCCUCCUCUGAGGGCUGCCUGCCGGGCUCUGCCCUGCCCUGCCCUUCCCUCCCCUCUCUUCCCCUCCCCUCUCCUCUCUUUCCCUCACCUCCCCUCUCUUUGCCUCCCCUCCCCUCCCCUCCCC